UUCUCUUUUCAGGGUGCUCCCUAUAUGGACCUCAGAUAUUAGAAAGGCUGCUUGAAGCUUUGUGCUAAAGGCCAUAGAAGCUUCCUGCAACAAAACGAACCUGUGCUUUCAGAGGGCCCAGUAUCACACUGUGCGACUGUACUGCACUAGGAGCUAAGGACCAUCACAUUCUACUGCAAGUAUGAGGUCCUGGUCCUGCUCUUUUCUCCAGUCUGGAGCAACGUUUGGAGGAGCCCAGCAGCCUGGUCCUUUCCAUAGCUUCCAAGGAUUUCUAGGAUCACAGGAUUUACAGACCCUCAAAAACCUCUGGAGGACAUGAGCUGUGGAUAAAAGCCUCUGGAAGCGCCUGCCACCUCUCUUACCUCUUGUUUCUUGCUGGGUGACUGCAUGCCAUUUGGGAAGGGAGCCUCUCCGCUCUCAGAGGAUUACGUCUAACCAGGCACUUGCCAUCCCCACUGGAAUACUUCUGCUACAUUUUCCCAGGAUGGAGAAAUUACUACACUCAGCAGAAGGAUAUUUUUCCCCUCUCCCAGAACUUUUCAAGUUCAGCGGUGCUCUUGUCCGGCAGGUGACACCUGCUCGUAUUGUUGAGUCCCAGGAAUCCUCCGUAACCUUAGUCUUUAUAAGUCUAGAAAUGAGUGAACCUCAAACCGUGCAGAGGUCUCAGUUGACUGCAGAAAGGUGAGAGGAGGAGCCUGUGGAAGGGAGCUCAGAUCCCACCAGGGUUUCCCGGAAAUGAGGUGAGUGGCAACAGCUUUCAGACCUAGUAAGCCCGGAGAUGCAAGCGCUCCUGGGCUUUCCUACACUCUGUGGGUUAGGUUAUUGAACCUUCAAACUUCCUUUUAUGUUGCGGGUUUCUGUGCCUUUUGCCUUUUCAGGGGCAGGCCUGAUGGAGG
RNAcentral lists this long non-coding RNA (896 nucleotides) under Struthio camelus australis. RNAcentral's name for it is "lncRNA (ENSSCUG00000010056.1)". Lineage: Eukaryota; Metazoa; Chordata; Aves; Struthioniformes; Struthionidae. The record is from RNAcentral.